Molecule: ribosomal RNA, 253 nt
Filed under: uncultured bacterium
Lineage: Bacteria
Description: partial 16S ribosomal RNA
Rfam family: Bacterial small subunit ribosomal RNA
Source: RNAcentral
CACGUAGGGCGCAAGCGUUGUCCGGAAUUAUUGGGCGUAAAGAGCUUGUAGGCGGUUUGUCGCGUCUGCUGUGAAAUUUCGGGGCUCAACCCCGAACUUGCAGUGGGUACGGGCAGACUAGAGUGUGGUAGGGGAGACUGGAAUUCCUGGUGUAGCGGUGAAAUGCGCAGAUAUCAGGAGGAACACCGAUGGCGAAGGCAGGUCUCUGGGCCACUACUGACGCUGAGAAGCGAAAGCAUGGGGAGCGAACAGG